Molecule: long non-coding RNA, 492 nt
Organism: Cajanus cajan (pigeon pea)
Lineage: Eukaryota; Viridiplantae; Streptophyta; Magnoliopsida; Fabales; Fabaceae
Source: RefSeq, a predicted model, not a curated record
UUUAUCACGUUGAUUCCUUUUGUCGUGAUCAUAAUUAAUAAGGUUGAAUGAAAAUGUUCAAUAAUCCACCCUAUCAACACCGACUCUUCUUGCGCCAAACGGCCAUUUUUGUUUGUCAAUUGUCAUACAUACGACAUAAGAGUUGUACAAAAAAUGAAUGCAAGCGUAUAGGAGAUAGAGGCUUGAUCAUAAUAUUUGCAAUCUGAGUUGGAAUUGAAGGGAUUUGUUAAAAACUUUCUCACAAACAAUGAAAUUAAAGGUCUAGCAACCUCUAUGUGUUUUGUGUGAGCAUGAAGCUUAGCACAUGGUUGUGAGAAAGGGCAACAAUGUUGUGGUUCUCAUAAAGCAGAAGUGACCUUUAACUACCGAUUGUUUACAUAUAGUAAGGCGUCAACUAGCAAGUGAUACAACGUAAGAUCAGAAACAUAAUUCACAUAUAUACCAAGUUUGCAACCACUUAUCAUCAAAGACGAGAUACUAUUUAGCAUUGAU